UGGGGUCUCUAUGGGGUCUCUAUGGGGUCUCUAUGGGUCUCUAUGGGUCUCUAUGUGGUUAUAUGGGGUAUAUGGGGUCUCUAUGGGGUGUCUAUGGGUGAUAUGGGGUGAUAUGGGGUUCUAUGGUGUCUAUGGGGUUUAUAUGGGGUUCUAUGGGGCUCUA
Molecule: long non-coding RNA, 163 nt
Filed under: Coturnix japonica (Japanese quail)
Lineage: Eukaryota; Metazoa; Chordata; Aves; Galliformes; Phasianidae
Description: lncRNA (ENSCJPG00005002131.1)
Source: RNAcentral